Molecule: RNA transcript, 2380 nt
Organism: Mustela erminea (ermine)
Lineage: Eukaryota; Metazoa; Chordata; Mammalia; Carnivora; Mustelidae
Gene: TBCE
Gene name: tubulin folding cofactor E
Exons: 15
Source: RefSeq, a predicted model, not a curated record
GCGGGACUUCCUAUCUUCCUAAAGAAGCACUUCCGGCCAAAGCCGGAAGCUUCGCUGCGGACCGGCGCGUGCGAGGGUCGAGGUUCGGACCACCCCGGUAGCCGCGGGGCAGAUCUCAUAUUUUGGAUUCUGGCUACGUUAUAAUGAAUGACACUUUGACAUCAGAUGUCAUUGGUCGACGAGUUGAGGUUAAUGGAGAACAUGCAACAGUGCGUUUUUCUGGUAUUGUCCCUCCUGUGGCAGGACUCUGGUUAGGAGUAGAAUGGGACAAUCCUGAGAGAGGAAAGCAUGAUGGAAGCCACGAGGGGACUGUGUAUUUUAAAUGCAGACACCCAACAGGGGGAUCCUUUAUUCGUCCCAACAAAGUAAAUUUUGGAGUGGGCUUUCUCACUGCAGUUAAGAAUCGCUAUGUGUUAGAAGAUGGACCAGAGGAAGAUGGAAAAGAGCAAAUUGUUAUAAUUGGAAAUAAGCCCGUGGAAACUAUUGGUUUUGACUCUAUUAUAAAACAGCAAAGUCAGCUGAGCAAGUUGCAAGAAAUUUCUCUGAGGAACUGUGCCGUGAAUGGUGCUGGUGACAAAGGAGCAAUUGCCAAAGCGUGUCCUAGUAUCAGAAAAGUAGAUUUGUCAAGAAACCUGUUGUCCUCGUGGGAUGAAGUCCUAGAUAUUGCUGAUCAGCUGAAACAUCUGGAAGUUCUUAAUCUCAGUGAGAAUAAACUCAGCUUUCCCUCGGGUUCACCAGUUCGAACCGGAACAUUUCCUGCACUGAAGGUUUUAGUCCUUAACCGAACAGGAAUAACAUGGGCGGAGGUGCUCCAGUGCGCCGCUGGGUGGCCGGUCCUUGAGGAGCUAUACCUCAAGUCUAACGAUCUCCUCAUUUCGGAAAGGCCAGCUGAUGUCCUGCAGUCAGUCAAGUUAUUAGAUCUUUCCUCUAAUCAAUUAAUUGAUGAAAAUCAGCUGUUUCUAAUAGCCUAUCUGCCCAGAUUAGAACAACUUAUCCUUUCUGACAUUGGACUUUCUUCUAUACAUUUUCCAGAUGCUGGAACUGGGCACAAGACAUCCAUGUUUCCUUCCUUGCAGUACCUCGUCGUGAAUGACAAUCAGAUAUCACAAUGGUCGUUUAUCAACGAGCUGGAUAAGUUACCGAGUCUGCAGGCUCUGUCCUGCAGCAGAAACCCCCUGACUGAAGGGAGCAAAGCAGCACAUACCACUCGUGGGCUCAUCAUUGCCAAAAUCGGUCAGUUGAAGACCCUGAACAAAUGCGAGUUCCUGAAUCCUGUCCCUGUUGGAAGGGACGGUAAGAAGAGAUGCCCCGUCACUCUCUGUGUGAUGAGCGUCCCUCAGCGAGCGGCAGGGCAGGGCACAAAGCACAGACCGCGUUUGUCCCGCAGAUCCCGCCGGAGGAGAGGCGCGGCGCCGAGCUCGAUUACCGGAAGGCGUUCGGCAACGAGUGGAAGGCAGCGGGCGGCCACCAGGACCCUGACCGGAACCGGCCCCACGCGGAGUUCCUCGCGGCGCAUCCCCGGUACCAGUCGCUGUGCCUCAGUACGUGUGCGGCCCGCAGCCCACCCCGCACCGCCCCUGCAGCCCCGGCCACGGGGCGUCGGAGGGGACCCUAGUGGCCCUGCUGUUCUUCGGGGCGUGGGGUCCUCCGAACGGGCCCUUGGCCCGAUGCUGGGGCCCUGUCCGCAAGCCCAGGAGCCAGACUCGAACCGGCCUCUUCAGGGCAGAGUCCGCAGCCUCGCUCCGCAGAGGGAGCGCGGGGAGUCUGAGGCCUGCUGGAAGGUCGAGAUCGGCAUCGGGGCGCUGGGGCAGGGGGCAGCCCUGCGGUGGAAGGCCCUCCUGUCUGCCCGAGUUCACCCCGCUUCCCGCCGCGGGAGGGCGGGCGACCCCUCCUGGCCGGGGGCAGGAGCAGCGGCGGCCGGGCCGAGCCUUCGGACCUUGCACGCGCGGAGCGUGUUAAGGUCGAAGCCGGGCCCGGGUGUUGCCAAAGCUCCCCGGGCAGUGGCGACCAGCGUGUCCGGUCCCCUCCGCGCGGCUCGAGGGCGCCCCCACCCCCCCGGCCCUCCCCGCCCCUCCCCGCCCCCGCCCGGGGCUCCCUUACCUUCCCCGCCUGGGUCCUCAGGCCCUGAAGCCCCCACUUGGCGACUCCGUCCCUGCCGUACUCCCCGUUUUGACUUCGUCGUCACUCCAGAUGUCACGGGUCCGGGACGUUCUUUCUCAAACCCGUUUCCCGGUGCCGCUCGCCGUGGAACGCUCCGGCUGGGGCGCUGGCCGUGAGGACGCGAAGCCGCCUGAAUAUGGUGCGCCGGAAGACGGGGAACUCAAGACACAACAGCCGUUUUUGCUCAAAAACCAGCUACUAACACUGAAGAUAAAAUAUC